RNAcentral lists this ribosomal RNA (406 nucleotides) under uncultured bacterium. RNAcentral describes it as "partial 16S ribosomal RNA". It matches the Rfam family "Bacterial small subunit ribosomal RNA", at positions 30 to 526 of the family's 1533-position model. The record is from RNAcentral.
AUUGAACGCUGGCGGCAGGCCUAACACAUGCACGUCGAACGAGUGGCGGACCGGUGAGUAAUGUCUGGGAAACUGCCUGAUGGAGGGGGAUAACUACUGGAAACGGUAGCUACUACCGCAUCACAUCGGAUGUGCACAGAUGGGAUUAGCUAGUAGGUGGGGUAAAGGCUCAACUAGGCGCAGAUCCCUAGCUGGUCUGAGAGGAUGACCAGCCACCGUGGAACUGAGACAAGGUCCAGACUCCUACGGGAGGCAGCAGUGGGGAAUAUUGCACAAUGGGCGCAAGCCUGAUGCAGCCAUGCCGCGUGUAUGAAGAAGGCCUUCGGGUUUGAAAGUACUUUCAGCGGGGAUGCGUUACCCGCAGAAGAAGCACCGGCUAACUCCGUGCCAGCAGCCGCGGUAAUUC